This 459-nucleotide ribosomal RNA is filed under the name uncultured bacterium. RNAcentral describes it as "partial 16S ribosomal RNA". It matches the Rfam family "Bacterial small subunit ribosomal RNA", at positions 338 to 795 of the family's 1533-position model. The record is from RNAcentral.
CCUACGGGUGGCAGCAGUGAGGAAUAUUGGUCAAUGGCCGAGAGGCUGAACCAGCCAAGUCGCGUGAGGGAAGACGGCCCUACGGGUUGUAAACCUCUUUUGUCGGGGAGCAAAGCGAGUCACGUGUGACUCAUUGAGAGUACCCGAAGAAAAAGCAUCGGCUAACUCCGUGCCAGCAGCCGCGGUAAUACGGAGGAUGCGAGCGUUAUCCGGAUGUAUUGGGUUUAAAGGGUGCGCAGGCGGAGGUGCAAGUCAGCGGUCAAAUCGCGGGGCUCAACCCCGGACUGCCGUUGAAACUGCAGCCCUUGAGUGCGCGAGAAGUAGGCGGAAUGCGUGGUGUAGCGGUGAAAUGCAUAGAUAUCACGCAGAACUCCGAUUGCGAAGGCAGCAUACCGGCGCGCAACUGACGCUCAUGCACGAAAGCGUGGGUAUCGAACAGGAUUAGAUACCCGUGUAGUC